AUCUUCCUACGGGGGGCAGCAGUGGGGAAUAUUGCACAAUGGGGGAAACCCUGAUGCAGCAACGCCGCGUGAAGGAAGACGGUUUUCGGAUUGUAAACUUCUGUUCUUAGUGAGGAAAAAUGACGGUAGCUAAGGAGCAAGCCACGGCUAACUACGUGCCAGCAGCCGCGGUAAUACGUAGGUGGCAAGCGUUGUCCGGAAUUACUGGGUGUAAAGGGAGCGCAGGCGGGGAGCCAAGUCAGCUGUGAAAACUACGGGCUCAACUUGGAGACGGCAGUUGAAACUGGG
This 288-nucleotide ribosomal RNA is filed under the name uncultured bacterium. RNAcentral describes it as "partial 16S ribosomal RNA". It matches the Rfam family "Bacterial small subunit ribosomal RNA", at positions 333 to 637 of the family's 1533-position model. The record is from RNAcentral.